Non-coding RNA from Lentinula aff. lateritia, 95 nucleotides. The record is from the annotation of a GenBank genome assembly. NCBI's taxonomy places the organism in Eukaryota, Fungi, Basidiomycota, Agaricomycetes, Agaricales, Omphalotaceae.
UCCCUGGUAGUAUAUCGGUUUAGUACACGCGCCUGUCAUCGAAAACAGGUAGUGUGCCCGCGCGCGAAAGCUGGGUUCGACUCCCAGCCAGGGAG